This is a small nucleolar RNA of Camellia sinensis, 136 nucleotides long. RefSeq annotates it as small nucleolar RNA Z247. NCBI's taxonomy places the organism in Eukaryota, Viridiplantae, Streptophyta, Magnoliopsida, Ericales, Theaceae. The record is from RefSeq and is a predicted model, not a curated record.
CCUGUAGAUGAUGAGGAUCUGGUUUUACUGAUUCUUAAUGGAUUGCCUGAUGAGUACAAUGCAUUUAAAACUUCCAUCAAAACUCAAUCUAAAUUCAUUUCUGUUGGAGAGUUAUGUUCUUUAUUAAACUUCGACU